This 19-nucleotide ribosomal RNA is filed under the name Cyclodictyon albicans. RNAcentral's name for it is "partial 18S ribosomal RNA". The record is from RNAcentral. Lineage: Eukaryota; Viridiplantae; Streptophyta; Bryopsida; Hookeriales; Callicostaceae. RNAcentral also lists the same sequence under 7 other names.
GACUGCGGAAGGAUCAUUG